AAGGGUUAUAAAACGUAACAACACAAACGUUGGCCCUAAUUUAGAGAUCACAAACUCACCACGGCGCUUGAAUAAUGGGUUUCAUUGUGAGGGAUUCGGGAACACAAUAAUGCUGCCGUGUAUGUUCGACGGCCGGUCCUCUUUAUCCCAAGCUAAUUUGUAACCCACGAUAGUCAGGUCAAAUUGAUACUUCUUCGGGAUUUUUUCCUUUUUUUUUUUUCCAAAUCGAAAUACAUUCAUAAUAGAAAUGUCAACGGCAAAACGAAAUAGCCCCAUAACCAAUAGCCCAUAGGAAGAGGCAACUAAAACCCACACUAGGGUGACUUAAACCCAUACCGAAGUGACUUAAAAAAACAUAAAUCUACACCGACAUCGAACCAAAUAAACGGUUACAAUCUACGCAGGAGAAGAGCAGAAAACUUGAUAGACUUUAAAGCUGAGGAAAGCCAAUGAUCGGGAGUUACCGCUGCUGCCCAUAGCCCGCCACCCAACAUCCUCUUCUGCACCCAAACCACACUUAUCGUUGCUGCCUCGCCCGCCAAUCGAUAAGACCAAGAACCGGAGACUUCAUAACUCGACAAGGGGAACCGCUGCUCAGUCCACACACCUUGGAUAUCUAAACGUCCAAAUUCCUUAGAAAGAAGCCCUCCCAACACAUGCUGAAGGUGAAGCCAUGCCAAUCAAACCUCUUGGGGCACACUCACAAGAGAAGAAACCGACGACAUGCAACCAAUGGAUACAAUACCCCCAGAAAAAAAAACUACUAAAACAAGGGAACACUCCAAGCAUAGAAUCAAUAAACCGAUCAAGCCUUUCAACAUCUCUACCGAAAAUGAGAAAGGUCGAGACUAAAACGAGCAAGACUCACAAACCGAUGAACUUCCAUUUCUAGAUCUGAAACACGAUCUGUGCUGCCACAACCGAACACAGCCACAGACGCAUCUACUAACCAAAUGAAGCGCGGUUCCGACAUAACCAUGACGAAAAUCAUAGAGAAAUGGCAGAGCUCACCAAGCUCAUGAACCAGCACGAACAUCAACCGAAAACUCAAAAAAAAAAUACAAACGAUAAAGCCCUGGACAUAAAGGAUGAAAAUCUACAAACGAUUU
This 1109-nucleotide long non-coding RNA is filed under the name Brassica napus (rape). RNAcentral's name for it is "long non-coding RNA (BNAP_LNC019502)". Lineage: Eukaryota; Viridiplantae; Streptophyta; Magnoliopsida; Brassicales; Brassicaceae. The record is from RNAcentral.